Molecule: transfer RNA, 77 nt
Filed under: Thermoprotei archaeon
Lineage: Archaea; Thermoproteati; Thermoproteota; Thermoprotei
Also listed under: 1 other name
Description: tRNA-Ala
Rfam family: tRNA
About the family: Transfer RNA (tRNA) molecules are approximately 80 nucleotides in length. Their secondary structure includes four short double-helical elements and three loops (D, anti-codon, and T loops).
Source: RNAcentral
GGGCCGGUAGCUCAGCCUGGAAGAGUGCCCCCUUGGCGCGGGGGAGGUCCCGGGUUCAAAUCCCGGCCGGUCCACCA